GGACUACAGGGGUAUCUAAUCCCGUUCGCUCCCCUGGCUUUCGUGUCUCAGCGUCGGCACACUCCCAGCUACCUGUUUUCACCAUUGGCGUUCCAAACGAUAUCUACGCAUUUCACCGCUCCACCGUUUGUUCCGGUAGCCCCUAAGUGGCCCAAGAGAACCAGUAUACCCAGCAGUUCCACGGUUAAGCCGUGGGAUUUCACAAGGUACUUAGAACUCCGCCUACACACGCUUUAAGCCCAGUGAUUCCGCCUAACGCUCGGCACCUCUGUCUUACCGCGGCGGCUGGCAC
RNAcentral lists this ribosomal RNA (292 nucleotides) under uncultured bacterium. Its description in RNAcentral is "partial 16S ribosomal RNA". The record is from RNAcentral.